AGCGAACGCUGGCGGCGUGCUUAAACACAUGCAAGUCGCGCGCGAAAAGGGAGCUUCGGUUUCUGAGUAGAGCGGCGAACGGGUGCGUAAGACGCGGGUGACCUAUCCUUGAGGCGGGAUACCCUCGAAAGAGGGCUAAUACCGAUGAGCCCACAGCAGAGAUGCCAGGGGCAAAGGUGCGAUUUAAUAGGCGCAUGUCUUCAGGGAGGGGCCCGUGGCCUAUCAGCUAGUUGGUGUGGUAACGGCGCACC
Molecule: ribosomal RNA, 251 nt
Filed under: uncultured bacterium
Lineage: Bacteria
Description: partial 16S ribosomal RNA
Rfam family: Bacterial small subunit ribosomal RNA
Source: RNAcentral